GUACACAAAUGGGAUUGAUGCAACUUUUCAAGAUCUUCACGGACGUUAAUUCCAUGAAUAACUGCAGGCCCAUAGUUUUUUGUUCAUAUUCAGUUAGUUCGUGACUACCAGAUUAGCUUAAGUUGCCAGNNNNNNNNNNGUCAGUGUGAGAAGCGUUACUUCUCCUUUGUUCUUUUAUUAUUAUUUUUUUCAUUGCCCCUCUUUGUUUGUAUCUAAUAUUGUUGAGAAGAGACAAGGAGUUGAAAAUUAAGUUUCAUGUUUCUUUUCCUAUGUUUAUCCUUCGAUUUGGGAACAGAAAACUCAUGGUGCCAGUAGGGGU
RNAcentral lists this unclassified non-coding RNA (319 nucleotides) under Hevea brasiliensis (rubber tree). Lineage: Eukaryota; Viridiplantae; Streptophyta; Magnoliopsida; Malpighiales; Euphorbiaceae. The record is from RNAcentral.